Molecule: ribosomal RNA, 1477 nt
Filed under: uncultured organism
Description: SSU rRNA
Rfam family: Bacterial small subunit ribosomal RNA
Source: RNAcentral
UUACGAACGCUGGCGGCGUGCCUAAUACAUGCAAGUCGAACGCUUCUUUCCUCCCGAGUGCUUGCACUCAAUUGGAAAGAGGAGUGGCGGACGGGUGAGUAACACGUGGGUAACCUACCCAUCAGAGGGGGAUAACACUUGGAAACAGGUGCUAAUACCGCAUAGCAGUUUAUGCCGCAUGGCAUAAGAGUGAAAGGCGCUUUCGGGUGUCGUUGAUGGAUGGACCCGCGGUGCAUUAGCUAGUUGGUGAGGUAACGGCUCACCAAGGCCACGAUGCAUAGCCGACCUGAGAGGGUGAUCGGCCACACUGGGACUGAGACACGGCCCAGACUCCUACGGGAGGCAGCAGUAGGGAAUCUUCGGCAAUGGACGAAAGUCUGACCGAGCAACGCCGCGUGAGUGAAGAAGGUUUUCGGAUCGUAAAACUCUGUUGUUAGAGAAGAACAAGGACGUUAGUAACUGAACGUCCCCUGACGGUAUCUAACCAGAAAGCCACGGCUAACUACGUGCCAGCAGCCGCGGUAAUACGUAGGUGGCAAGCGUUGUCCGGAUUUAUUGGGCGUAAAGCGAGCGCAGGCGGUUUCUUAAGUCUGAUGUGAAAGCCCCCGGCUCAACCGGGGAGGGUCAUUGGAAACUGGGAGACUUGAGUGCAGAAGAGGAGAGUGGAAUUCCAUGUGUAGCGGUGAAAUGCGUAGAUAUAUGGAGGAACACCAGUGGCGAAGGCGGCUCUCUGGUCUGUAACUGACGCUGAGGCUCGAAAGCGCGGGGAGCAAACAGGAUUAGAUACCCUGGUAGUCCACGCCGUAAACGAUGAGUGCUAAGUGUUGGAGGGUUUCCGCCCUUCAGUGCUGCAGCAAACGCAUUAAGCACUCCGCCUGGGGAGUACGACCGCAAGGUUGAAACUCAAAGGAAUUGACGGGGGCCCGCACAAGCGGUGGAGCAUGUGGUUUAAUUCGAAGCAACGCGAAGAACCUUACCAGGUCUUGACAUCCUUUGACCGCUCUAGAGAUAGAGCUUUCCCUUCGGGGACAAAGUGACAGGUGGUGCAUGGUUGUCGUCAGCUCGUGUCGUGGGAUGUUGGGUUAAGUCCCGCAACGAGCGCAACCCUUAUUGUUAGUUGCCAUCAUUUAGUUGGGCACUCUAGCGAGACUGCCGGUGACAAACCGGAGGAAGGUGGGGAUGACGUCAAAUCAUCAUGCCCCUUAUGACCUGGGCUACACACGUGCUACAAUGGGAAGUACAACGAGUCGCUAGACCGCGAGGUCAUGCAAAUCUCUUAAAGCUUCUCUCAGUUCGGAUUGCAGGCUGCAACUCGCCUGCAUGAAGCCGGAAUCGCUAGUAAUCGCGGAUCAGCACGCCGCGGUGAAUACGUUCCCGGGCCUUGUACACACCGCCCGUCACACCACGAGAGUUUGUAACACCCGAAGUCGGUGAGGUAACCUUUUUGGAGCCAGCCGCCUAAGGUGGGAUAGAUGAU